Molecule: ribosomal RNA, 497 nt
Filed under: uncultured bacterium
Lineage: Bacteria
Description: partial 16S ribosomal RNA
Rfam family: Bacterial small subunit ribosomal RNA
Source: RNAcentral
GAUGAACGCUGGCGGCGUGCCUAAUACAUGCAAGUCGAGCGAACGGACGAGAAGCUUGCUUCUCUGAUGUUAGCGGCGGACGGGUGAGUAACACGUGGAUAACCUACCUAUAAGACUGGGAUAACUUCGGGAAACCGGAGCUAAUACCGGAGGAUAUUUUGAACCGCAUGGUUCAAAAGUGAAAGACGGUCUUGCUGUCACUUAUAGAUGGAUCCGCGCUGCAUUAGCUAGUUGGUAAGGUAAUGGCUUACCAAGGCAACGAUGCAUAGCCGACCUGAGAGGGUUAUCGGCCACCCUGGAACUGAGACACGGUCCAGACUCCUACGGGAGGCAGCAGUAGGGAAUCUUCCGCAAUGGGCGAAAGCCUGACGGAGCAACGCCGCGUGAGUGAUGAAGGUCUUCGGAUCGUAAAACUCUGUUAUUAGGGAAGAACAUAUGUGUAAGUAACUGUGCACAUCUUGACGGUACCUAAUCAGAAAGCCACGGCUAACUACGUG